UACGUAGGGUCCGAGCGUUGUCCGGAAUUACUGGGCGUAAAGAGCUCGUAGGUGGUUUGUCGCGUUGUUCGUGAAAACUCACAGCUCAACUGUGGGCGUGCGGCGAUACGGGCAGACUAGAGUACUGCAGGGGAGACUGGAAUUCUGGUGUAGCGGUGGAAUGCGCAGAUAUCAGGAGGAACACCGGUGGCGAAGGCGGGUCUCUGGGCCGAUAUUGACGCUGAGGAGCGAAAGCGUGGGGAGCGAACAGG
RNAcentral lists this ribosomal RNA (251 nucleotides) under uncultured bacterium. RNAcentral describes it as "partial 16S ribosomal RNA". It matches the Rfam family "Bacterial small subunit ribosomal RNA", at positions 524 to 776 of the family's 1533-position model. The record is from RNAcentral.